CUUGAUUGAUGAAAUGUCACUAGUGCAGGAAAUGAGCCAUGGAUUGGAACAAGUAAUAAUCGGAGGGAGAUAUUUUUCUGCAAUCCUAACAUGCAUAUGCAGUGGUCAAGCAAAGUCAGCUUCCAGAAUCAGCUUCCAGACCC
Long non-coding RNA from Octopus sinensis (East Asian common octopus), 143 nucleotides. RefSeq lists it as uncharacterized. The transcript has 3 exons. The record is from RefSeq and is a predicted model, not a curated record. NCBI's taxonomy places the organism in Eukaryota, Metazoa, Mollusca, Cephalopoda, Octopoda, Octopodidae.